This 363-nucleotide ribosomal RNA is filed under the name uncultured bacterium. Its description in RNAcentral is "bacterial SSU rRNA". It matches the Rfam family "Bacterial small subunit ribosomal RNA", at positions 28 to 381 of the family's 1533-position model. The record is from RNAcentral.
GAUGAACGCUAGCGGCAGGCCUAAUACAUGCAAGUCGAACGGGAUCCAGAUCAAAGCUUGCUUUGGUUUGGUGAGAGUGGCGCACGGGUGCGUAACGCGUGAGCAACCUACCCUUGUCAGGGGGAUAGCCCGGCGAAAGUCGGAUUAAUACCGCAUGACAUCAUUGAGAGGCAUCUUUCGAUGAUCAAAGAUUUAUCGGACAAGGAUGGGGCUCGCGUGACAUUAGCUAGUUGGUAAGGUAACGGCUUACCAAGGCUACGAUGUCUAGGGGCUCUGAGAGGAGAAUCCCCCACACUGGUACUGAGACACGGACCAGACUCCUACGGGAGGCAGCAGUAAGGAAUAUUGGUCAAUGGACGGAAG